CGGGUGAGUAACGCGAGGUAACCUGCCUUGUAGCGGGGGAUAACUAUUGGAAACGAUAGCUAAUACCGCAUAACAAUGGGUGACCCAUGUCAUUCAUUUGAAAGGGGCAACUGCUCCACUACAAGAUGGACCUGCGUUGUAUUAGCUAGUAGGUGAGGUAACGGCUCACCUAGGCGACGAUACAUAGCCGACCUGAGAGGGUGAUCGGCCACACUGGGACUGAGACACGGCCCAG
Molecule: ribosomal RNA, 235 nt
Filed under: uncultured bacterium
Lineage: Bacteria
Description: partial 16S ribosomal RNA
Rfam family: Bacterial small subunit ribosomal RNA
Source: RNAcentral